CCGUCCUUUAUUGGCUCUCAGGCCUUACCUGCACUGAUGAGAACUUUGUAAUUAAGUCGGGAGCUCAACGUGCUGCCUCAACUGAGGGUGUUGCAUUAAUUGCCCCUGAUACAUCUCCAAGAGGCCUGAAUGUGGAAGGAGAGGCAGACAGCUGGGAUUUCGGUAUAGGUGCUGGAUUUUAUAUUAAUGCUACUCAGGAGAAGUGGAAAAACUGGCGUAUGUAUGACUAUGUUGUUAAGGAAUUGCCUAAACUUCUCAGUGACAAUUUUCCGCAGCUUGAUACAUCAAGGGCAUCUAUAUUUGGUCAUUCAAUGGGCGGCCAUGGUGCUUUAACAAUAUAUUUGAAGAACCUUGAUAAGUACAAGUCAGUUUCUGCCUUUGCACCAAUUGCCAAUCCUAUAAACUGUCCCUGGGGCCAGAAAGCUUUCACAAAUUAUCUUGGUGGCAAUAAAGCUGAUUGGGAGGAAUAUGAUGCUACUUCCCUAGCUUCAAAGUUUCAUGGUGUAUCUGCUACGAUUUUAAUUGAUCAGGGAGAGGAUGACAAGUUCUUGCAUGAUCAGUUGUUGCCUUAUAACUUUGAGGAGGCAUGCAGAAGUGCUAAUGUUCCACUUCUAUUGCGAAUGCAACCUGGUUAUGAGCACUCCUACUCUUUCGUUUCCACUUUCAUUGAUGAUCAUAUCAGCCACCAUGCUCAAGCUCUUAAUCUGUAAUUCACUCUGGUAAACUAUGGGUAAUGCAACAAGUGGGUGUGCUAAUGUGGUUCCAAUGCUAUGGUGAUCCUUAAAUAAAGCUUGCUUGAUUUCCCCAAGGUUCACCAAAAAUGGGGGAAAAUGUAUAUAUUUUCCUCUUCUUUUGAAAACUGAUAACACUUUGUUUCCUUAUCAUUCACUUGAUACCUGUUCUAGGGACCUUGGUGUUGCUUUCUAUAUGCAUUUAGUGUCCAUGCCCAAUGAUAAUGGUGGUGGUGGUGGUGGUGUUAUUAUUAAAAAAAAAGAGGAAAAUAUAUACAUUUUCCCCCAU
RNAcentral lists this unclassified non-coding RNA (1020 nucleotides) under Hevea brasiliensis (rubber tree). Lineage: Eukaryota; Viridiplantae; Streptophyta; Magnoliopsida; Malpighiales; Euphorbiaceae. The record is from RNAcentral.